RNAcentral lists this ribosomal RNA (670 nucleotides) under uncultured bacterium. RNAcentral's name for it is "bacterial SSU rRNA". It matches the Rfam family "Bacterial small subunit ribosomal RNA", at positions 838 to 1503 of the family's 1533-position model. The record is from RNAcentral.
CCGCAGUGCCGUAGUUAACACAAUAAGCACUCCGCCUGGGGAGUACGGUCGCAAGACUGAAACUCAAAGGAAUUGACGGGGGCCCGCACAAGCGGUGGAGUAUGUGGUUUAAUUCGACGCAACGCGAAGAACCUUACCAGGGCUUGACAUCCUCUGAAAGCCAUAGAGAUAUGGACCUUACCCUUCGGGGUAACAGAGAGACAGGUGGUGCAUGGUUGUCGUCAGCUCGUGUCGUGAGAUGUUGGGUUAAGUCCCGCAACGAGCGCAACCCCUAACAUUAGUUGCCAGCGAGUAAGGUCGGGAACUCUAAUGUGACUGCCGUUGACAAAACGGAGGAAGGUGGGGAUGACGUCAAAUCAUCAUGCCCCUUAUGUCCUGGGCUACACACGUACUACAAUGGCCGGUACAGACGGAAGCGAAGCCGUGAGGCGGAGCAAAACUGAGAAAGCCGGUCCCAGUUCGGAUUGUAGUCUGCAACUCGACUACAUGAAGUCGGAAUCGCUAGUAAUCGCAGGUCAGCAUACUGCGGUGAAUACGUUCCCGGGCCUUGUACACACCGCCCGUCACACCACGAAAGCUGACAACACCCGAAGCCGGUGAGCUAACCGAAAGGAGGCAGCCGUCGAAGGUGGGGUUGGUGAUUGGGGUGAAGUCGUAACAAGGUAACCAA